Molecule: regulatory RNA element, 115 nt
Organism: Actinoplanes regularis
Lineage: Bacteria; Bacillati; Actinomycetota; Actinomycetes; Micromonosporales; Micromonosporaceae
Rfam family: SAM (S-adenosyl methionine) riboswitch aptamer
About the family: SAM-IV is a mRNA element that regulates gene expression via direct sensing of S-adenosylmethionine (SAM or AdoMet). SAM-IV riboswitches share conserved nucleotide positions with the previously described SAM-I riboswitches sequence analysis and molecular recognition experiments suggest that SAM-I and SAM-IV riboswitches share similar ligand binding sites, but have different scaffolds.
Source: Rfam
GGUCAUGAGUGUCAGCGACAAGCCCCGGCUCGCUGACCGGCAACCCUUGCGUUCGCGAUGGGGUGCCCCGGGUGAGGACCGGGCCGGCGUCGAUCGACGACGGCAAGCGCGGACC